CUUAAUGUCAUGGGAAGCUUGUUCCAUUCUUUUGCCGCAGCAACAGUAAAACUACGUUCACCAGCCUUACUCCGGGUUGUCUGAUAGGUUAGUCGAAGAUGAUCUCCACUAGACCGCAAACCUUCUCGUUUAGGAUAAUGAACCUGAAGUGCCCCCUUGAUAUACAUUGGUACAUGAUCAUGAAAUGAUUUAUAUACAUACAAAAGAAUCUUAAAUAAUAUUAUUUGUUUAACUGGUAGCCAGUUAUUCAUUCAAG
Lytechinus variegatus (green sea urchin) is the source of this 256-nucleotide long non-coding RNA. RefSeq lists it as uncharacterized. The record is from RefSeq and is a predicted model, not a curated record. NCBI's taxonomy places the organism in Eukaryota, Metazoa, Echinodermata, Echinoidea, Temnopleuroida, Toxopneustidae. The transcript has 3 exons.